Molecule: long non-coding RNA, 306 nt
Organism: Astyanax mexicanus (Mexican tetra)
Lineage: Eukaryota; Metazoa; Chordata; Actinopteri; Characiformes; Acestrorhamphidae
Exons: 2
Source: RefSeq, a predicted model, not a curated record
UAGCUAAAUGUAUAUAAACAAGGUAGUUAACUGGAUGGCAGUACCUGCUGUGGACGCACUGCAGGGUUUCUGCACGGCUCCACGUAGUGUGAGAAUAGACACCUCCAAAACGUCUCGCUCUCAGAAAAGCGUCUAAAAAGUUCUGCUCAGGUUUAUACAGGAAAGAUCUCUGAGCAAAUGCUCCACGUUAACCUAGUUCAGCUUCGUCUUCAUCCAUAAUCUCCACAAACAACAAGCUCUUUUAUGCUAGUUAUGUACCUGGGCUCUUCACCAGCCAACCUUGUGACGUCACCAGUGCUGCACGGG